GAAACGAUACAAUAACUUAACCGUGUGAAUAUGAUAUGGAAAACAUGUGUGGUUGGAUUAGUCCACCGGUUCUUGUCGAUGUCACGUGAUUCUCAGAAGAUGCACAAAGCAAAAGUGCAAGCCCCAUGUGAUGAUAUGAUCUGAUCGACGUGCACUGUGGAAGAAGAUGGCACCGUAUGCCACAACCAGAUAAAAUUGACACGAAUAUCUCCUUUAAUAUCUUCUUUGGUGCGUGAACAAUAUCUAACUUUAACCAAACACCAUUUUAUGUACAUGUUUUUUGAAGAAAAGAAAAAAUGAUGAUAAAAAAAAAACAAUGAUCCUACAAAAAAAUUCCCACCAAGCAGAGAAAUUCCACCGGGACAAACGGAAAGCAACAACCGUUUCAUUUCCCAGCAAGCGGCACGCAAGCACGCGCAGUUUGACCACGGCGGACGGCCCGGUCAAACUAAACACGUUGUCCAGCCGCGCACGCCUGGUCGUUGCACUCCACUGACUUGCCGCCGGCGCCGGCCGGCUUCCCGCCCUUGCUCGACCCGUCGGACUCGGCCCUCCGUGUCGACCUCGACCCCCACGCCGCGGAGAAGGUCCGCGACAGGAACGACGGCCACCGGCCGGACUGGCCNNNNN
RNAcentral lists this long non-coding RNA (630 nucleotides) under Hordeum vulgare. RNAcentral's name for it is "long non-coding RNA (HVUL_LNC013345)". The record is from RNAcentral. Lineage: Eukaryota; Viridiplantae; Streptophyta; Magnoliopsida; Poales; Poaceae.